This 254-nucleotide ribosomal RNA is filed under the name uncultured bacterium. RNAcentral's name for it is "partial 16S ribosomal RNA". It matches the Rfam family "Bacterial small subunit ribosomal RNA", at positions 524 to 776 of the family's 1533-position model. The record is from RNAcentral.
UACGGGGGGAGCAAGCGUUGUUCGGAUUUACUGGGCGUAAAGGGCGCGUAGGCGGCCAGCACAAGUCAGUUGUGAAAUCUCCGAGCUUAACUCGGAAAGGUCAACUGAUACUGUGCGGCUAGAGUGCGGAAGGGGCAACUGGAAUUCUUGGUGUAGCGGAGAAAUGCGUAGAUAUCAAGAGGAACACCUGCGGCGAAGGCGGGUUGCUGGGCCGACACUGACGCUGAGGCGCGAAAGCCAGGGGAGCGAACGGG